RNAcentral lists this ribosomal RNA (404 nucleotides) under uncultured bacterium. RNAcentral describes it as "bacterial SSU rRNA". It matches the Rfam family "Bacterial small subunit ribosomal RNA", at positions 355 to 776 of the family's 1533-position model. The record is from RNAcentral.
UGGGGAAUAUUGGACAAUGGGGGAAACCCUGAUCCAGCCACGCCGCGUGAGUGAUGAAGGCCCUCGGGUUGUAAAACUCUGUCGUGAGUGAGGAACGUGACGUUAACUCACAAGAAAGCACCGGCUAACUCCGUGCCAGCAGCCGCGGUAAUACGGAGGGUGCAAGCGUUGCUCGGAAUUACUGGGCGUAAAGGGUGCGCAGGCGGAUUGUUAAGCAAGAUGUGAAAGCCCAGGGCUCAACCCAGGAACUGCAUCUUGAACUGGCAAUCUUGAGUCCGUGAGAGGGGGGUAGAAUUCCAGGUGUAGAGGUGAAAUUCGUUGAUAUCUGGAGGAAUACCGGUGGCGAAGGCGGCCCCCUGGCACGGUACUGACGCUGAGGCACGAAAGCGUGGGGAGCAAACAGG